RNAcentral lists this unclassified non-coding RNA (348 nucleotides) under soil metagenome. Its description in RNAcentral is "partial contains 5.8S ribosomal RNA, internal transcribed spacer 2, and large subunit ribosomal RNA". The stretch from base 1 to 120 matches the Rfam family "5.8S ribosomal RNA", at positions 35 to 154 of the family's 154-position model. The record is from RNAcentral.
GAUGAAGAACGCAUCGAAAUGCGAUAAGUAAUGUGAAUUGCAGAAUUCAGUGAAUCAUCGAAUCUUUGAACGCACAUUGCGCCCGCCAGUAUUCUGGCGGGCAUGCCUGUCCGAGCGUCAUUUCAACCCUCGAACCCCUCCGGGGGGUCGGCGUUGGGGAUCGGCACUUACCUGCCGGCCCCGAAAUACAGUGGCGGUCUCGCCGCAGCCUCUCCUGCGCAGUAGUUUGCACACUCGCACCGGGAGCGCGGCGCGUCCACGGCCGUAAAACAACCCAAACUUCUGAAAUGUUGACCUCGGAUCAGGUAGGAAUACCCGCUGAACUUAAGCAUAUCAAUAAGCGGAGGA